Molecule: RNA transcript, 6274 nt
Organism: Vitis vinifera (wine grape)
Lineage: Eukaryota; Viridiplantae; Streptophyta; Magnoliopsida; Vitales; Vitaceae
Gene name: putative disease resistance RPP13-like protein 1
Exons: 8
Source: RefSeq, a predicted model, not a curated record
GUGGGCUCCACAAUGCCUGAAACUUCAAUUCAAUGUACAGACCAUUUUCCUGCGCUUUCACAAGGCUUGAAAGACUACUGCAAAGGCUUUCACAGCAACUGCUACUCUCGCUAAUUUGCUUUGGUUAUUCGAGAGUUUGAAUUUUGCUGAAAACAUGUUUGUGGCGGAGGCGGCUGUGUCUUCCAUCUUUGAUCUGGUGCUUGAGAAGUUGGUGGCUGCCGCCGCUGCCCCUUUGUCGGAGUAUGCACGCAGGCAGAAUGUUGAGGCCACUCUCCAAGAAUGGAGGAGGAUUUUGUUGCAUAUUGAAGCUGUGCUGACUGAUGCUGAGCAGAAGCAGAUAAGGGAGAGAGCUGUUAAGCUUUGGUUGGAUGAUCUCAAAUCUUUGGUUUACGACAUGGAAGAUGUUCUGGACGAGUUCAACACUGAAGCUAAUCUGCAGAUCGUGAUACCUGGACCCCAAGCUAGCACCAGUAAGGUACACAAGCUCAUCCCAACUUGUUUUGCUGCUUGUCAUCCUACAUCUGUGAAAUUUAAUGCAAAGAUUGGGGAAAAGAUAGAGAAAAUUACAAGGGAGUUGGAUGCUGUUGCAAAACGAAAACAUGACUUUGAUUUAAUGAAGGGUGUUGGAGGGUUGUCGUUUGAGAUGGAAGAAAGGUUACAAACCACUUCCUUGGUAGAUGAGUCUAGCAUUUAUGGUAGGGAUGCUAAGAAGGAGGCUAUCAUUCAAUUUCUCUUAUCCGAGAAAGCCUCCAGGGAUAAUGGUGAUAAUGGAGUUUCUGUAGUUCCCAUCGUAGGUAUGGGUGGGGUUGGUAAAACAACCCUGGCUCAAAUUAUCUACCAUGAUAAGAGGGUGGAGAGCCACUUUGAUACCAGGAUUUGGGUUUGUGUAUCGGAUCGAUUUGAUGUGACAGGGAUAACCAAAGCAAUUCUAGAGUCCGUCACUCAUAGUUCAACUGAUUCUAAGAACUUGGACUCAUUACAAAAUAGCCUGAAGAAUGGAUUGAAUGGGAAAAAAUUCUUCCUCGUUCUAGAUGAUGUGUGGAACGAGAAGCCCCAAAACUGGGAUGCCUUAAAGGCUCCUUUUAGGGCUGGUGCACAAGGCAGUAUGAUCAUAGUAACAACUCGUAAUGAAGAUGUUGCAUCGAUUAUGCGCACUACUGCCUCUUCUCAUCACCUUGAUGUGCUAUCCUAUGAAGAGUGUCGGCUAUUAUUUGCAAAACACGCCUUUGCACAUAUGAAUACAAACAUCCGCCAAAAGUUGGAACCAAUUGGUGAGGAGAUAGUAAAAAAAUGCAGAGGCUUGCCUUUGGCUGCAAAGUCGCUUGGAAGUCUAUUACACACUAAAGAAGAUGAAAAUGCUUGGAAUGAAGUACUGAAUAAUGGCAUAUGGGAUUUUCAAAUUGAACGAAGUGACAUUCUUCCGGCUUUAUACUUGAGUUACCAUUAUCUUCCUACAAAUUUGAAACGAUGUUUUGCAUAUUGCUCCAUAUUCCCCAAGGACUAUAAAUUUGAAAAAAGGAACUUAGUGCUGUUAUGGAUGGCCGAAGGCUUAUUAGGUGGCUCCAAAAGAGAGGAAACUAUAGAAGAUUAUGGUAACAUGUGUUUUGACAAUCUACUUUCAAGAUCUUUCUUCCAACAAGCUAGUGAUGAUGAAUCAAUAUUUUUGAUGCAUGAUUUGAUCCAUGAUUUAGCACAAUUUGUAUCGGGAAAAUUCUGCUCUUCGUUGGAUGAUGAAAAGAAAAGUCAAAUUUCCAAACAGACUCGACAUUCUUCUUAUGUUAGGGCAGAGCAAUUUGAACUCUCCAAGAAAUUUGAUCCAUUUUAUGAAGCUCAUAAUUUGCGGACCUUUCUUCCUGUACAUACAGGUCAUCAAUAUGGUCGUAUCUUUUUAAGCAAGAAGGUCUCAGAUCUUUUAUUGCCAACAUUGAAAUGCUUACGGGUUCUCUCUUUAGCUCAUUAUCAUAUUGUGGAGUUGCCUCACUCAAUUGGAACUUUGAAACACCUACGCUACUUAGAUCUUUCUCGUACUUCAAUUAGAAGGCUCCCUGAAUCAAUAACCAACCUUUUCAACUUGCAGACAUUGAUGUUGUCAAAUUGUGAUUCUCUUACUCAUUUACCCACAGAAAUGGGGAAACUGAUUAACUUGCAGACAUUGAUGUUGUCAAAUUGUAUUUCUCUUACUCAUUUACCCACAGAAAUGGGGAAACUGAUUAACUUGCAGACAUUGAUGUUGUCAAAUUGUAUUUCUCUUACUCAUUUACCCACAGAAAUGGGGAAACUGAUUAACUUGCAACAUCUUGAUAUUACCAACACUAUAUUAAAGGAGAUGCCAAUGGGAAUGAAAGGGUUGAAACGUCUUCGAACAUUGACUGCUUUUGUUGUUGGUGAGGAUAGAGGGGCAAAAAUUAAAGAGUUGAGGGACAUGUCACACCUCGGUGGCAGACUUUGCAUUUCCAAGUUGCAGAAUGUGGUGGAUGCUAUGGAUGUCUUCGAGGCUAAUUUGAAAGGCAAGGAGCGUCUUGAUGAGUUAGUAAUGCAGUGGGAUGGCGAAGCUACUGCUCGUGAUUUGCAGAAGGAAACAACUGUGCUUGAAAAGCUACAACCUCAUAACAAUUUGAAAGAGCUGACCAUCGAGUACUAUUGUGGUGAAAAAUUUCCUAACUGGUUAAGCGAACAUUCAUUUACCAAUAUGGUGUCCAUGCAACUCCACGAUUGUAAAAAUUGUUCAUCCUUGCCAUCGCUAGGGCAACUUGGAUCUCUCAAGGAGCUCUCUAUUAUGAGGAUUGAUGGAGUGCAGAAGGUGGGACAAGAGUUCUAUGGGAAUAUUGGGUCUUCUUCGUUUAAGCCAUUUGAAGCCCUAGAGAUUCUGAGGUUUGAAGAGAUGUUAGAGUGGGAGGAAUGGGUUUGUCGUGAAAUUGAAUUCCCUUGUUUGAAGGAGCUUUAUAUCAAGAAAUGUCCAAAGCUGAAAAAGGAUUUACCGAAACACCUUCCUAAAUUAACAAAACUUGAGAUUAGAGAAUGCAAGCAGCUGGUGUGUUGUCUUCCAAUGGCUCCCUCCAUUCGUAAAUUGGAGUUGGAGAAAUGUGAUGAUGUGGUGGUUAGGAGUGCGGGCAGUCUCACCUCAUUGGCUUCCUUGGAUAUAAGCAAUGUUUGUAAAAUACCAGAUGAAUUAGGACAACUGCAUUCUCUUGUAGAGUUGUAUGUGCUUUUUUGUCCCGAGCUAAAGGAAAUUCCACCCAUUCUUCACAACCUUACCUCUCUUAAAGACUUGAAGGUCGAGAAUUGUGAGAGUCUUGCAUCUUUUCCGGAGAUGGCGCUGCCACCCAUGCUUGAAAGCCUUCAAAUUUUUUCCUGUCCCAUUCUGGAGUCCCUACCAGAGGGAAUGAUAGCCUCCUUCACAAAGCUUGAGACGCUUCAUUUAUGGAAUUGUACAAAUCUGGAGUCCCUUUACAUUCGAGAUGGACUUCACCACAUGGAUCUCACAUCUCUCCAGUCAUUGGACAUAUGGAAUUGCCCUAAUCUGGUAUCUUUUCCGCGAGGAGGAUUGCCCACUCCCAAUUUAAGAUGGCUUGGGAUAUAUAACUGCGAAAAGCUUAAGUCACUGCCCCAAGGGAUGCACACCCUCCUUACAUCCCUUGAAUUAUUGACAAUAGAAGGUUGUCCAGAAAUUGAUUCAUUUCCAGAAGGGGGUUUGCCCACUAAUUUAUCUAGCCUUUACAUCGUGAAUUGCAACAAACUCUUGGCUUGUCGGAUGGAGUGGGGCUUACAAACGCUUCCCUUUCUUAGAACGUUGCAGAUUGGAGGAUAUGAGAAAGAAAGAUUUCCCGAGGAGCGAUUUCUGCCCUCCACUCUCACCUCCCUUGAAAUUAGGGGUUUUCCAAAUCUGAAAUCCCUGGACAAUAAGGGGCUUCAGCAUCUUACCUCUCUUGAAACUCUGGAGAUUUGGAAAUGUGGAAACCUCAAGUCCUUCCCAAAACAAGGGCUGCCCUCCUCCCUUUCACGUCUUUAUAUUGGAGAGUGUCCUCUGCUGAGGAAACGAUGCCAAAGGGAUAAAGGGAAAGAAUGGCCCAAGAUUUCUCACAUCCCCUGCAUAGCGUUCGACCAAUCGGAUAUGGAAAAUGGGGAGGUGAUCUUAUCAUGAGGCCCUUGCAUCGAAGCUCUUGCUCUCCUCUGCAUUUAUUGGCCCAGGAGUGUCUACUAUCUUGUUGUUGAUUGAGGAAGGUUGUCUACCAGAAUUGUUGGCUUCCUUGAUUUUCUACUUGGUUUUUGCAAGCACAUCAAAAUGUAGGGAGCAAAUGGAGAAAACAACCUUGUAAAGCUCAUGUAGACAAAUGAUUCCUAAUUCCAAGACAUCCACUUUAGAUUCUUCAAAUAUGGCAAAGGGUUCAACAAACGUAUUCAUAGCAACAAAGUGCCUAUUUCCAAUUAGCUUCCACAUUGGGCAUCAUUUAAGAAUUUGAAAGAAGUACUUGUACCUGCAUAAUAAUGAGAGGUUCAUUUGAAGGAGGCACCAUUGAAGCAUGUCGGGGUGCAUACUGUUGGGGAAGUAAAAGAUGGUUAAUCAGCCUUUCAGAAGUCAAAAUUUAAUUAGAGGUUCUAAACUUUUGGAACUCCAGUGCAAUGAAAAGGUUGGAGACUUUGAUCAAGUUAAUACACUUUCCCAUUCUUCUCUCUUGCAUAGGACUUUGGUAUUGCCUUUUGUAUGGGAAGAGCUUAAUCAGGCAUGCAGAGUGAUUCUCCUAUUGAUUAUCAGAUAGAAUGAAGGGCUCUGACAAAUGUACUAACCGCCGCAAAGUGCCCUGCUUUCGAUAGGACGAAGAUUUUGCCAAUAGAGAUAGCUUGUUGGAAGGUGAUGUGGAAUCAUAAAGACGUGGAAUCAUAUGGAAGAGAUAAGCAAAUGAUACACUUCCAAGUUCUCCUCUCUUGCAUGGGACUUAGGUACACCAUUCUGCAUGGAAAGAUGUGGGAAGAGUGAUUCUCUUCUUUGUUAUUAAUUAGUUCAUCGUUAAUUAGCUGGAAUCCAAGUGGAUGAUAUGAACAUCCAUACUGGCACCAUUAUGAUAUUUCUUGGAAAUUAUCUGCAGGUGGAACUUAGAUUGUAUUUUGCUAAUGAUUUGUAUAUCCCCUGCCUUCAGUCUUGGGAUAGCAGUAUUCAGAUAGAUUUCUGCCACCUUUAAUUAAGAUCUUCUGUUCCCAUAAAACCAUGUGUAAGCGAUCCUACUUUCUAUCACUGCAGAAGAGCCUAUCAUCAAAUGAAUGCUUUUUGUUGACUUCCAUUACAUGGUACCUUGAUCCAACACUGGACUCCAAAAGGAGAACAAUCAUGCAAACUGAAAUGUAUGUUGAUUCUAAUAACUUAAUUCUCAAUCCCUAACUUGAGGAAAUGAGAGGCUAUUAUAAAUGGAAAUUUUAUCAGGUUUCUCUAGCAGCACAUCCUGACAUGGUAAUCUUCACAGGAAAAAUUAAGAGAAAUGCUUUUAAGUUUAGAAAAGCGGAGUAAUGAUGUUUGAAGUUGAUAGAAAUGUUCGAGGAUUUCGUCUGUCUUUAAUGUAGGCUUCUGCCCAACUCAUUGGAUUUCUCAAAUACUUUCCUUCCUUCAUUUCCCGUUUUACUGGGGUUUUAUAUCUUGCUCCAUGCUGUCUAGGAACUCAAAAUUCCUCAGAUAUCCCUUUCAGUUGUUCAUAAGGUUGUAAAUGUGCCUCAUAUAUGGCAGCUUGUUCAUGGAAUACUUGGAUGUGCAAUUCAAUGAUUGGGGUUCUCAUAGUUGCUACAAAUUUGGCGCAAAAUAUCACACACACUCCAAUUAACUGGAUGACUUGACCAUCAGAACAAGCUAUUCAGUUUUAUUUUUUGUUUUUAAGCUCCCAUGAAAAGAUGGCAAGCAUUAGCCUUGGCCCAUGAAAGAAAGCCAUUCUCAUCAUAACUGAUUUAUAUGUCAACUAAAAUGGUAGCGACUUCACAUUUCUUCAACAUCUGCAGAUGUUGGAAACCUCCAUUGAUGGCAAGUUUCUUUCACUGUUUCCCAUGUACACAUAUGUUGUUCCCACAAACCAUGCAUCUUCUAUUCUCUCUUGGGAGAUGUUUUAUGAUGAGAUAUUGCUAUUUGUAUAUGAUAGGUAGGAUGUUCAGUGUUUUAGAGAUUCAACUUAUUGUGAGGUCAUUCCAAAUCUUAAAAGUUGUUGCAUUCUCAAUAGAAGUGAUCUGUUUUCAAACUUUCAAAGCAGAUAUGAUUGAGUUCAUUCCUCUUAUAUGCAGUUGAAAAUAUAUUCAUAUA